UGCUGGCAACUGUGGGAAUAAAGU
Molecule: non-coding RNA, 24 nt
Filed under: Cricetulus griseus (Chinese hamster)
Lineage: Eukaryota; Metazoa; Chordata; Mammalia; Rodentia; Cricetidae
Source: RNAcentral